This 645-nucleotide long non-coding RNA is filed under the name Numida meleagris (helmeted guineafowl). RNAcentral describes it as "lncRNA (ENSNMEG00000001692.1)". The record is from RNAcentral. Lineage: Eukaryota; Metazoa; Chordata; Aves; Galliformes; Numididae.
AUGUGCAGUGACUGGAAGGGUGUGUCAGUUUCAAAACAACUAACAGUCACUGAAAAAAUAGAAGCUUUCUGCUCAGGUGCUAGACUUGGCCUCAGGAUAUUCUCACUGGCAAGGGACAGCUCCCUGUCAUUCUUAAUGGACAAUAGCAGCCCCAAGCCAAAGACCAUUGUAGUGUAUCUUCCAGUGGAGAAAAGGAUACCUAAUCUUUAUGUGCUCAUGAAGAGUUCAUAGCCCAGAUUGUGCAAUGCUCUAUGUGAUGCAACUGGAAAAUUAGGCCCUUCAGAAAGGUGAGCUAAAGGAGUACGCUUAAUGAAAAGUUUGUCUAAACCCAGCAGCCGCUGGGACAAUCAUGGGAAGGGAUGUGUCUUAACUAACUCCUCUGAAAGUGUUUCUGUCUUCAUAGGAUGUGCAUGAGGAGACUUAAGUGCCCAGUGUGGAAGUGAAAAUUGUACACAGUAAUGAUCUCAGAUGCUAAACAGGAAUCACAGCGAUUCAGUUUACUCCAGCCCAGAGAGGUUUACAUGUCUUCACUGUUGAAAAUACUCUAAUGUGAGGCAGUAAAUUUGGGGAUAGGGCAUCAGGAUACCUUCAUUUUGACCAGUUGAAGCUAGAACACUGUUCAUCUCAAAUUGCUAAAUAAUGAGA